CCUACGGGAGGCAGCAGUGGGGGAUAUUGCACAAUGGGGGAAACCCUGAUGCAGCGACGCCGCGUGAGUGAUGAAGUAUUUCGGUAUGUAAAACUCUAUCAGCAGGGAAGAAAAUGACGGUACCUGACUAAGAAGCUCCGGCUAAAUACGUGCCAGCAGCCGCGGUAAU
RNAcentral lists this ribosomal RNA (169 nucleotides) under uncultured rumen bacterium. RNAcentral's name for it is "partial 16S ribosomal RNA". It matches the Rfam family "Bacterial small subunit ribosomal RNA", at positions 338 to 524 of the family's 1533-position model. The record is from RNAcentral.